RNAcentral lists this ribosomal RNA (309 nucleotides) under Triticum aestivum (bread wheat). RNAcentral's name for it is "partial small subunit ribosomal RNA". The record is from RNAcentral. Lineage: Eukaryota; Viridiplantae; Streptophyta; Magnoliopsida; Poales; Poaceae.
AUGUGCCGGAACCUAUCUUCAAUUUCGUCAAACUUCUGGUGGGGAGCAGCGAACGGUGAACGGAAGGUGCACUGGUUGUCGUGGGAGAAGAUGUGUACAACCAAGCGAGAAGGAGGGUUGGGGUUCAGAGAUCCUGUUGCGUUCAACCAAGCUUUGUUAGCUAAACAAGCGUGGCGAAUGUUACAAUACCCUGAUUCGUUAUGCGCUAGAGUUUUGAAGGAGAGAUGUUAUAAAGAUGGAACAAUUCUAAAUGCAACAUGUCCCGGCGGAGCAUCCUAUACUUUCAGGAGUAUAAUCUUUGGCCGUGAU